RNAcentral lists this long non-coding RNA (2717 nucleotides) under Heterocephalus glaber (naked mole-rat). RNAcentral describes it as "lncRNA (ENSHGLG00000036997.1)". Lineage: Eukaryota; Metazoa; Chordata; Mammalia; Rodentia; Bathyergidae. The record is from RNAcentral.
GGGACAUCCGGGCAGGGGCAGCUGCAGGGCUGGAGCCCCCACUCCAAAGUCAUGGCUAGAGUUGAGCAUGAGUCGGGGAGAACUGACUCUCCUUCCCGCCACGCCUCCCAGCCUGGGCGGAUGGAGCUCGGCCAACUGUACCACAGUGGAUCUGUGCCCCGACUUUGGAUGCUAGGCAGGCUGUGCCUUCAUCACCCGCCAGGAAAGGAGGCUGGCAUUGACUGGGCGCUGCUGUGUGCAUGGAGCUGUGCAUCCGAGGUCCCUUUGCUACCGCUCCUGGCCCUGGAGGAGGGGAGGGCCUCGUCCGCACCUCCCAGGGAAGGAAGCAACUCCAGGAAAUGUCAGGCCGGAGUUUCAACUGAAACCACGCCGAGGAAGAUGCCAGGGAGGGCACAACCCCAGUGCUUCACAGGUGGUUGUUGAGCUGUCACAGGACCCUGUGGUCACCAUGCGUGGGGCCAUGUGACAGAAAAGAGAGGCAGGGACCAGGAACUGGAGCUCCUAGGCUCGUGAUCCGGAGUCCAGCGCUUACCAGUGAAGACACAAGUACGAGCCACCAGUGACCUUUCCAGACUCACUUUCUCACCUGUCAAAUGGGCAGGUCACCCUGAUCUCCCAGGGCCCUUCCCUCUCUUUGGCCUUCUCCUGUUCACCCCUCUGGCAUAUCAGUUACUUUUGCUGCAUCCUCAGCCACCCUGCAGUUAACGGGUGCAGAGCAGCAGCAAUCACUUAGGGUGAUUUUUGUUUGUUCUUUUAGAGAUGGUCUCACUAUGUAGGUCAUAGAUGGCCUCGAACUUUCCUCCUACUUCCUGCCUCAGCCUCCCAAGUGCUGGGAUUACAGGUGUAUGCCAUCAUACCUGGCUUAUCGUGAUUAUUACCACUAUGGGCUCAGUUCUCUGGUUCUCACUGGGUUUCUCCCAUUCUCAGGGCCAUCCGGUGCAAGGAAAGGAGACAGAGACCUUACUCUUGAUGGAAGCCAGGUGUGUGUGUUGUGUGUGUGUGUGUGUGAGCAUCUUUGGAAUCACUACCUGCCACAGUUUGCUCUAGGCCUCUGAAAUCACAGUGAUUCACAUCCUCCCCUGUUGUGGCUGAAUUGCCCUCCCAUCUUGUGUGGAAGCCUUAACCCCCAGUACCUGAGGAUGCAAUUGUAUCUGAGGCUAGGGUCUUGAAACAGGUGACUAAAUUGCAUGGAGCCAUUAGGGUGAGUCCCAAUUCAACGUGACUGGUGUCUUUCUGAGAAGAGGAGACCACGUGAAGACAGGGGAGCGGACACCAUCUACAAGCCCAGGAGAGAGGCUCUGGAGAAACCAACCCUGCCACAACUUCACUGCAGACUUCUGACCUCCAGAAUGGUUCUAGUCUCUGCUAUACUUCCUGUACCAAUGUCCUCAGGACAUGGAAAGUUCUUCAAAAGCAGAGGGUGUGCCUGUCUUGAUGACCACUCACUGUCCAUACUCAGCACAGAACAGGUAUUCCAAAAAAGAAAAGGGCUGGGGAUGUAUCUCAAUGUGAAGUCCUGGGCUCAAUCCCCAAUACUAUGGAAGAAAAUAAGAAACAAAGAAGGAAAGAAAGGAAGAGUAAGUGCGUGAGCAUGUCUAAGGGAGAAAGACCUGAUGGAGGUCACCUGAGGAGGUGACUUUUGGGCUGUGAUCUGAAGAAUCAGCUGAUAUUAACCAGGUGGAGAGAGAAUAGGCAGGUAGUGGAUUACCCAGAGCAAAGGCCCUGAGGCAGGAGGGAGCAUAACAGUGAUAAUAACAUGACAGUAUUAUUAUUAUUGUUAUUGGUAAUACGGCUUAGAUCCCUUGAGUACUUCCUAGGUGCUCAAGCCAGCAGUGAGCACUUAACUUGAAUGGUAUGAGUCUUUCAUCUGAAUGCCCCCAGGGGAGAGAUAUAACUAUAGCAGCCCCAGCUGUGCCCUGCCCAGAUUUCUGCUGCCCACCCUGGAGGUCCCUGAGGACGGUUUUGAUUUUGGUGGCGGCUUCCUGCAUUGCUUUGCAAGACUAAAGCUGUAUGUGCUAGGGGAGUUCGUGCUUCCCCCCAAAUCCCUCUACCACUGGCUGGUGGGAACUGGAGGACCCAGCUCCCUUGCCCCUGGAUGGCAGUACUGCCUGGUGAUGCCACUCAGGGGCUGCAGGGGGAGCCCGCCCACUAGCUUUCUGACUGCCCUGUCUCACUGCCCCUUGUGCUUGCAGGGUCGCCUCCCACCACCUCCCGUCGUUGCUGAACACCUGCCUCAGGCUCUGCCUAUGGAGGGACCAAAACUAAGACACUAUUAAUAUUCCAUUAACUAGAUGGGGGGAAACUGAGGCACAAAGAAGUUACUGUAGAGUGAGGAAAGGAAGAACUGAAAGAAAUUCCUUGAAACUAAAACAUUAAGUGUAUGUGGUGGCGGCGGCGGGGGAAUAUGGGACAGAUGAGGCCUGUGAGGUAGGCAUGAAGGCCUUGCCACGGCCUGGCCAGGGCCAGGUGGGUCACUAGGCUAAGGCCACAGGAGAUCUUGUGACUAAUAUGAGCUGAUAUUACAGAGGUCUGAGCAGGUGCUAAAAAGCUGGCUAGGGGGCUUUGGUGGUCAUUCUAGGGGACUCACCAGGGCAGGGCCACCGACUUUAGUGUGUUGCCGAGUUUGGGGGCCAAAGGCCUGGCUCUGGGAGUCCUGAGGCCAGGCCUGGCCACCUGUCCAGUGGCGUUAAUGAUGAGCAGAAGGUGGUGAAGAACGG